AGAAGGGCAGUCUCCAUUGUCUCCUCUCACUUUCCUGAGUUCCCAGUACCCAGAGAAAAUGCUGAAGACAGGCUGCAGGAAGGAAAGAACUGGAUCAACUUUUAUUUGGUUGUUAAAGAGGUAAUACAUGCCUUAAUUCAUUCAAGAGAUACAAAGGAGUACCAGUAAAGAGUGUCCUUCCCACGCCAUACCACACCCUUCCACAACCUUCCACAACCUUCCGGU
Molecule: long non-coding RNA, 225 nt
Filed under: Homo sapiens (human)
Lineage: Eukaryota; Metazoa; Chordata; Mammalia; Primates; Hominidae
Description: non-protein coding lnc-CA7-6:1
Source: RNAcentral